UAGCUUGCUAUUUGGGUGGCGACCGGCGCACGGGUGCGUAACGCGUAUGCAACCUACCUUAUACUGGGGUAUAGCCCGGAGAAAUUCGGAUUAAUCCCCCAUGGUAUUAUUGGAUCGCAUGGUUUGAUAAUUAAAGGUUACGGUAUAAGAUGGGCAUGCGUCCUAUUAGCUAGAUGGUAAGGUAACGGCUUACCAUGGCUACGAUAGGUAGGGGGCCUGAGAGGGUGGUCCCCCACACUGGUACUGAGACACGGACCAGACUCCUACGGGAGGCAGCAGUGAGGAAUAUUGGUCAAUGGGCGCAAGCCUGAACCAGCCAUGCCGCGUGCAGGAAGAAUGCCCUAUGGGUUGUAAACUGCUUUUAUUUUGGAAUAAACUCUUGUACGUGUACAAGCCUGAAGGUACUAAAUGAAUAAGCACCGGCUAACUCCGUGCCAGCAGCCGCGGUAAUACGGAGGGUGCAAGCGUUAUCCGGAAUCAUUGGGUUUAAAGGGUCCGCAGGCGGAUUUA
This 510-nucleotide ribosomal RNA is filed under the name uncultured Bacteroidota bacterium. RNAcentral describes it as "bacterial SSU rRNA". It matches the Rfam family "Bacterial small subunit ribosomal RNA", at positions 76 to 583 of the family's 1533-position model. Lineage: Bacteria; Pseudomonadati; Bacteroidota. The record is from RNAcentral.